AACGUAGGACGCGAGCGUUAUCCGGAGUUACUGGGCGUAAAGCGCGGGCAGGCGGUCUGACAGGUCUGAUGUGAAAUCUCCGGGCUUAACCGGGAGAGGCCAUUGGAAACUGACAGGCUGGAGGGCAGUAGAGGUAGGCGGAAUUCCGGGUGGAGUGGUGAAAUGCGUAGAGAUCCGGAGGAACACCAGAGGCGAAGGCGGCCUACUGGGCUGCACCUGACGCUGAGCCGCGAAAGCCAGGGGAGCGAACGGG
This 253-nucleotide ribosomal RNA is filed under the name uncultured bacterium. RNAcentral describes it as "partial 16S ribosomal RNA". It matches the Rfam family "Bacterial small subunit ribosomal RNA", at positions 524 to 776 of the family's 1533-position model. The record is from RNAcentral.